CAGCACCUCAAGUGGUCAGGAUGAUUAUUGGGCCUAAAGCAUCCGUAGCCGGCGCUGUAAGUUUUCGGUUAAAUCUGUACGCUCAACGUACAGGCUGCCGGGAAUACUGCAGCGCUAGGGAGUGGGAGAGGUAGACGGUACUCGGUAGGAAGGUGUAAAAUCCUUUGAUCUAUUGAUGACCACCUGUGGCGAAGGCGGUCUACCAGAACACGUCCGACGGUGAGGGAUGAAAGCUGGGGGAGCAAAACGGAUUAGAUACCCGAGUAGUCC
RNAcentral lists this ribosomal RNA (270 nucleotides) under uncultured archaeon. RNAcentral describes it as "partial 16S ribosomal RNA". It matches the Rfam family "Archaeal small subunit ribosomal RNA", at positions 477 to 747 of the family's 1478-position model. The record is from RNAcentral.